GACGAACGCUGGCGGCGUGCUUAACACAUGCAAGUCGAACGCUGAAGCACCAGCUUGCUGGUGUGGAUGAGUGGCGAACGGGUGAGUAAUACGUGAGUAACCUGCCCUUGACUCUGGGAUAAGCCCGGGAAACUGGGUCUAAUACUGGAUGCUACAUGUCACCGCAUGGUGGUGUGUGGAAAGGGUUUACUGGUCUUGGAUGGGCUCACGGCCUAUCAGCUUGUUGGUGAGGUAAUGGCUCACCAAGGCGACGACGGGUAGCCGGCCUGAGAGGGUGACCGGCCACACUGGGACUGAGACACGGCCCAGACUCCGACGGGAGGCAGCUGUGGGGAAUAUUGCACAAUGGGCGAAAGCCUGAUGCAGCGGCGCCGCGUGAGGGAUGACGGCCUUCGGGUUGUAAACCUCUUUCAGCAGGGAAGAAGCCACAAGUGACGGUACCUGCAGAAGAAGCGCCGGCUAACUACGUG
RNAcentral lists this ribosomal RNA (470 nucleotides) under uncultured bacterium. RNAcentral's name for it is "partial 16S ribosomal RNA". It matches the Rfam family "Bacterial small subunit ribosomal RNA", at positions 28 to 507 of the family's 1533-position model. The record is from RNAcentral.